RNAcentral lists this ribosomal RNA (1034 nucleotides) under Escherichia coli. RNAcentral describes it as "partial 23S ribosomal RNA". It matches the Rfam family "Bacterial large subunit ribosomal RNA", at positions 165 to 1239 of the family's 2925-position model. Lineage: Bacteria; Pseudomonadati; Pseudomonadota; Gammaproteobacteria; Enterobacterales; Enterobacteriaceae. The record is from RNAcentral.
CAUAGGUUAAUGAGGCGAACCGGGGGAACUGAAACAUCUAAGUACCCCGAGGAAAAGAAAUCAACCGAGAUUCCCCCAGUAGCGGCGAGCGAACGGGGAGGAGCCCAGAGCCUGAAUCAGUGUGUGUGUUAGUGGAAGCGUCUGGAAAGGCGCGCGAUACAGGGUGACAGCCCCGUACACAAAAAUGCACAUACUGUGAGCUCGAUGAGUAGGGCGGGACACGUGGUAUCCUGUCUGAAUAUGGGGGGACCAUCCUCCAAGGCUAAAUACUCCUGACUGACCGAUAGUGAACCAGUACCGUGAGGGAAAGGCGAAAAGAACCCCGGCGAGGGGAGUGAAAAAGAACCUGAAACCGUGUACGUACAAGCAGUGGGAGCCUCUUUUAUGGGGUGACUGCGUACCUUUUGUAUAAUGGGUCAGCGACUUAUAUUCUGUAGCAAGGUUAACCGAAUAGGGGAGCCGAAGGGAAACCGAGUCUUAACUGGGCGUUAAGUUGCAGGGUAUAGACCCGAAACCCGGUGAUCUAGCCAUGGGCAGGUUGAAGGUUGGGUAACACUAACUGGAGGACCGAACCGACUAAUGUUGAAAAAUUAGCGGAUGACUUGUGGCUGGGGGUGAAAGGCCAAUCAAACCGGGAGAUAGCUGGUUCUCCCCGAAAGCUAUUUAGGUAGCGCCUCGUGAACUCAUCUCCGGGGGUAGAGCACUGUUUCGGCAAGGGGGUCAUCCCGACUUACCAACCCGAUGCAAACUGCGAAUACCGGAGAAUGUUAUCACGGGAGACACACGGCGGGUGCUAACGUCCGUCGUGAAGAGGGAAACAACCCAGACCGCCAGCUAAGGUCCCAAAGUCAUGGUUAAGUGGGAAACGAUGUGGGAAGGCCCAGACAGCCAGGAUGUUGGCUUAGAAGCAGCCAUCAUUUAAAGAAAGCGUAAUAGCUCACUGGUCGAGUCGGCCUGCGCGGAAGAUGUAACGGGGCUAAACCAUGCACCGAAGCUGCGGCAGCGACACUAUGUGUUGUUGGGUAGGGGAGCGU